GUUAGGGAUUUUAAGUGAGACCAAACCCAUCCCUAAUAUCAGUGAACCACACGCCUUUCUUCUCCCUUUCUUCUUCUCUCCUCUUCUCUCCCUUCUCCCUCACUGCUGAGUUGCCACAACCACCAACGACAGCAGCCGUCAGUUUCUUCCCUCCCCCUGCACCAGCCGUGAGUCACCCCAAGCAGCAGGCAGCAGCAGCUGCGUUUUCUUAGAGUUUUCCACGGCAGCAGCUGUGUCUCCCCUCCAUCACUCUUCGCCCUCUUCUCCUGUUCCCUUUUCAGGAGGAUCAUAGACAGGUGUAGCAGGAAUUGGAGGUUCUUUUGCAUUGCAUUGCAUUGGGGGAGAGUGAUGAGGGCGAAGCAUAACCUGUGUCAUACCGUUAUCUUUCGAUUUUGCGCUCUUGUUUAUCUUUUGUUGUAAACUUUAGUUGUAUACGUUUUAUUAUGAGGCCUUGUGUCCUCCUUUGUAUAUUUGUAUUUCCGCUGCAUAGUUUAUAACUUUGUAUGGUUUUAAAGAGUUAAGUCAUUUUAAAACGCAAGCGUUGACACUGGAA
Molecule: long non-coding RNA, 553 nt
Organism: Amaranthus tricolor (Joseph's coat)
Lineage: Eukaryota; Viridiplantae; Streptophyta; Magnoliopsida; Caryophyllales; Amaranthaceae
Exons: 2
Source: RefSeq, a predicted model, not a curated record